UCAACACUUGGAUGUCGUUUACAUCACACGAAAUUGGAGUCAGAGGUCUUGAAUUAACUGCCGACUCAAUUUGCGCUAGAAUCGUCGUUAACUCUUCGAAUGUGAAUUUUUGUUCUCCCAUCACUUUCAUUAGAUGCAUUUUUACUGUUUUUACGCCAGCUUCUACCAGGCCAUUGAAAUGUGGUGCGCCCGGUGCCACAAAAUUGGUUCCAUUGUCGCUGAAUAUCACUUUUACUUCACCCCGUCUCGCGAUAAAACGUCGUAGUGCAGCAAUAAAUGCGUCAGCUGACAUGUCACUGACCAACUCAACGUGCAACGCUUUCGUUGACAUACAUACAAAAAUGCAAAUGUACGCCUUUACUACUCUUGCAUUUCGGAGUUUCGAUGUUUUGAUGAAAAUUGCUCCCGUAAAGUCAACCAUUGUGUUUGUAAAUGGCUUGCUUACGACUGUUGUUCUAACCGCAGGUAAAUUUGCCAUUUUUUGUUGCAUUGUUUUUGGGUUGUGUCUACGGCAUGUGACACACCCGUUGAGUUGUUUUUUUACCGCCGAAAGACCGUUGACUAUCCAAUAUUUCUGUCGGAUAAGUGAUUCGGUCAACCUUGGGCCAGCGUGAAAAUUAUUUUUGUGCAUAUCACGAAUGAUUAAAAUUGAGAUUCCACUUUUUUUUGGAAUUAAAAUCGGGUGUCUGGUGUUAAAUGGUAUGUCGUAGUUUUUUAUUCUACCACCCACGCGUAACAGACCAUUCGUAUCGAUGAACACAUUCAACUUUAGAAGUUCACUGGUUUUUUCAAUUUUUUUGUUUUUAUUUAAUUUUUCAAUUUCAUUUUCAUAAUACACAUGCUGUACGAUUCGAAUGAUUUUCGUUUCGGCUUGCUCUAGCUCGGUCG
Molecule: long non-coding RNA, 888 nt
Organism: Sitodiplosis mosellana (orange wheat blossom midge)
Lineage: Eukaryota; Metazoa; Arthropoda; Insecta; Diptera; Cecidomyiidae
Exons: 2
Source: RefSeq, a predicted model, not a curated record